This 1724-nucleotide long non-coding RNA is filed under the name Lathyrus oleraceus (garden pea). Its description in RNAcentral is "Pisum sativum (pea) long non-coding RNA (PSAT_LNC010733)". The record is from RNAcentral. Lineage: Eukaryota; Viridiplantae; Streptophyta; Magnoliopsida; Fabales; Fabaceae.
GGUUCAUAAUGUUAAAAUUCCAUAUCAAAUUCAAAUUUCAAUGUUCAUAUACAAGGUCGUUCAUUCAAUAACCAAUACAUUUCAUUCAAAAUAUCAAUAUCAUUCAUUAUACAAUCAUACAAAUGUCCAUUCCAUGAGAAAAAUACAAAAAAAAAUGAACUUUGCCCAAAUGUUGACUUUGGUCAGCUUUGACCAAAGUCAACCCAAUCCUAAAAGAAAAACCUAAAAUCCCUAUCCCUAAUCCUAACCCUAAUCUUCCAUUUUCAUGUUGAUUCUUGAUUGACCAAUUGCACAUGUUGCUUCAAAUUCCAACCUUAAUGCCAUUUGCAUUGUCCAUCCAUCAUGCAUUAAGCCUCCAUGGAACCAUGACAUGCAUAUGCUGCAAAAGGAUAUACAUGACAUGAAGCAAGUCAACAUGCAUAGCACAAACCACAAGUCAGAAUCAUGAGCUAAGUGAAGCAUAUGCAAGACUACAUACCAUGAAACUAAGGCCAUUCCACAAGUAAGCAAGCCAAGUCAGAAACCACAAAUCUAUAAACAAUACCCAAGACAAUGAGUUUACACUGCAGCAUCAAAGUAAAUCAACAUAAACACAAGCCAAUCCCAUUACAUAACCAACAUGGCCUACUGCAAUCAAUCAGAAUCAUGAGCAGAGUCAGAAUUGAAUUGAUUGUACCACCUGCAAAAUUAGCACAAUCCAAUGCACUUCAAAACAGUCCAAGCUUCAUAACCAUGUCCAAGCCAAGCAGGGCAGACAUAUGAUACACUUCAAUUAACCUGCAUAAUCCAUAGUUUGAAAAUCAUUAUCAUUGAAACUUCUCUAAACAAGCAGCAAAACUUAGAAUUCACAAAACCACCUAACUUCCAUUCUAACUGUUUGCAGCCUCUAACCACCUAACUAACUUUAUAACUGUUUUCACUAUCCAAUUAACUUAGCUAUUUUCCAACAAUCUAACAAACUCAAAACUGACAUAACCAAUUGAAAUAGAAUGCAAGCUUCAAAUUGAAACAGGAUGGGAAGCAAAGUCCAACAAAAUUUUGGAAGGGAAUAACAUAUUAACAGAAAUCCUAACAGAAUUUGAGAAACUUCUAACCAAAUUUGGGAAAGCAAAACAAAAAUCAUCACCUAUAUAAUCAGAGUGCACUCACCAUCUCGAGGCUCCUCUCAUUUUUUUUCCCAAACUAAAAUCUCAGAUCCUGAACUCAUUUUUCUCAUUCUCACAAUCAGCCUUCAAUUGAAAAAUCUCAUAGCUCCAAGAAACUCAUUCAUCAUGUUGAACUCACCAACCUCAAUCCAAAAAAGCUUCACUUCUCUAAACCAACCUCAGGGCUUCGAAUUCAUCUUCUUCAUUCAUUCAACACUUGUUUCUCUUGGAUUUUUCCAAUGACUCCACCCUCCCUAACCUUUAAACACAACCUCUAAUUUCACCUCACUUCAACUUCAUCAUUUCGACAAAUUCAAAACCUAACGCAUCAUCAUCUCAAUCCACUCUUCACACGCAACCUCGCUCAAUCAAACGUGAAUCAGAGUUCACUCCUCACAUAAAGACGAAUUCGAAACAAUAUUCUGCCAAACUCAGUAGAACAAUGACAAUAAGUAGUCUACACCUUCCAUUUGCAUUUAUGAUUGUGUACGCAUUGACCAUUUCUAUGUGUGUUUUGAUUCUUUGCUUAUUCAUCUACAUGUGGCCUCAUCAAUACCCCAUUAUCCAUUUGCAACAUCG